Hippoglossus stenolepis (Pacific halibut) is the source of this 2029-nucleotide long non-coding RNA. RefSeq lists it as uncharacterized. The record is from RefSeq and is a predicted model, not a curated record. Lineage: Eukaryota; Metazoa; Chordata; Actinopteri; Pleuronectiformes; Pleuronectidae. The transcript is spliced from 4 exons.
CAGACAGACUGGUUUCCCUGUGCACUGGGUGUGGUGUAUAAAAUAGGGAAGCACAACCUUGACAGUGCUUGUUUUGCAGCUCAGCCUCAGAAUGAACAUUUGCGGCGCUUCUGCACAGAAAAAAAGCCAAGCCAUGAACCAGGUCCAAAUUGAAUACUGUGGCGGAUGAGGUUACUCUUCCCGCUACAGGGACCUGGAAGGAGCCCUCCGGCAGGUCCCUGGUCUGUCGGUGACGGGAUUCAAGGGAAGACAAAACAGUUUUGAGGUGUCACUGAACGGGCAGACGAUCUACUCCAAGCUGCAAACACACUCAUUUCCUGAUCGUGACCAGGUGGUAGCGAUGGUGAAGAAGAUUAUCCACGAAAAGAAGAAGUAAAGCCUCAGAGAAACAACUGGUCUGAAGAGAUCUGUAUUCACACUGCAAGAGAACGACAUGGUUUGUCUUCUGUGGUUCAGAGCUCAGUCUCAUCACGUCUGCUUAACAGAAGACCAAAAUUCAUUCAAACACCUUUCAGCUUAACUGUGGACCAUGAUCAACCGAGAAGAAGAGCCCAUGUGUUCUCUUCAUGGUGAAUACAGACAAAGACCAGGAGAUGAUGGGAGCCACACUGAGGAGCCGGGCACUGACUUCUGUUUAUGAUUGUAUACACUGAAAAACACGUGGUGUGUACAUGAUGCAGGGCUAGAAGCUUUUCAGUCGACAGGAGCCUGAGGAUGUGCUCUCAUCGUGUCUGUCUCUACUCACACGUAACAUUUCUUUAGCUGUCUCAAUCAAACACACUUAUUCCAUCGUCCGUUUUGUUCUGUUCAUAUAAAUCUAAAGGUCUCACGAGCUGAGGAUUCGAUUAAAAGAAUAGUUUGACAUUUUUAGAAAAAUGCUAUUUUGCCUUCUCGUCGCAAGAUGAGAAGAUUGAUACCACUGUCAUUUCUUGAAUAUAAAGCCAGUGUUAACAUCCAGUUAUUUAAAGCUCACAAACAUGUUAUAUCUUAUUUUUGAAAAUGACAAUUUGCCGGCAUUUGUUGGACUAUUUGUUGACUACCACUUAAUACCAAAAGUCUCUAGUGCUGGCCCAGGCUAAAAUAAGCCUCCUGUACAAUGGCUCAUAGUUUUACAGUUUGCUUUUUGUAUGGAUUAAACAAACAGGAUACAACAUGUUAUUUAGCUUGGACAAAGUCAGGGUAGCUGUUUCCCUUUGUUUCCAGUCUUUAUGCUAAGCUAAGCUAAACAGUCUCUGGCUCUAGCAUUGUAUUUAUUUCACGUGGCAGCGGUAUCUUCUCAUCUUGCUAACUCUUGGCAAGAAAGAAAAGAGUAUUCAAGAACAUUUUUCAAAAACUUUAAUUUGUGUUAUGUUGCAAACAGGAAAUGCACUUCAAAUUUCAGAUUCUUUAAAUAUUUGGCAUUUCCAUAACACCUUGAAUCACUUAGACCGAUCACGUCUUUAUUCCUUAGGAAGUUUUCACCUUUUUUGUUUUCCUUUGAUGAGACAGCUACUGCAAAUGUUCUGCCUUCUUUGUCACUGAUGAAAAUUCAUUCAAUGACAAAUGAUGAAUACAACAAAUAUACUUGCAAUAUCAAACACAGGGAUGCUGGAAGUCAGGCGGAGGUGGAGCUGUUGAGAGAAAGUCUAGGCUCGACAAUGCUGUCAUAUAAAACUGAAAUAUUUGACACCACUUUUAGAACAUUUCACUUCACAAAAAGCAGCAAACGUCAUCUGGGCAAUAGAUGGGCGGCACCAACAAUGCACCACAUAUUCUAAAAUGAAAUAUAUUAAUUAAAAUAAUCCAAAUUUUAAAAAAAGAUAGGUAUUUUACUAUUUCGCUUUCAAAAUGUUACUUUAGUUAACAACAAAAUAAAGUUAACUAAGGAAAAAACAUUUUUGCCAGUGAUGGUGCUGCAGUCCCCUCAACAACCCUACUUCCAGCAUCCUUGAAACAUAUCACAUAUCAAACAGUUUCUAAACAAUAAAUCAUCACUUUCAACAACAAUUCAUUCCAUUUUCCACAAAUGCAAUAAAAGAUUAUGGAUUCA